RNAcentral lists this ribosomal RNA (458 nucleotides) under uncultured bacterium. RNAcentral's name for it is "partial 16S ribosomal RNA". It matches the Rfam family "Bacterial small subunit ribosomal RNA", at positions 338 to 795 of the family's 1533-position model. The record is from RNAcentral.
CCUACGGGUGGCAGCAGUGGGGAAUAUUGCACAAUGGGGGAAACCCUGAUGCAGCGACGCCGCGUGAGUGAAGAAGUAUUUCGGUAUGUAAAGCUCUAUCAGCAGGGAAGAAAUAGCGACCUUUGGGUCGCCAGACGGUACCAGAUUAAGAAGACCCGGCGAACUACGUGCCAGCAGCAGCGGUAAUACGUAGGGGGCAAGGGGUAUCCGGAUUUACUGGGUGGAAAGGGAGCGUAGACGGCAGGGUAAGUCUGAAGUGAAAUGCCGGGGCUUAACCCCGGAACUGCUGUGGAAACUGGGCAGCUAGAGUGCAGGAGAGGUAAGUGGAAUUCCUAGUGUAGCGGUGAAAUGCGUAGAUAUUAGGAGGAACACCAGUGGCGAAGGCGGCUUACUGGACUGUAACUGACGUUGAGGCUCGAAAGCGUGGGGAGCAAACAGGAUUAGAUACCCGAGUAGUC